Non-coding RNA from Arthromyces matolae, 100 nucleotides. Lineage: Eukaryota; Fungi; Basidiomycota; Agaricomycetes; Agaricales; Lyophyllaceae. The record is from the annotation of a GenBank genome assembly.
GGGUCGAUGGCGUAGCUGGUUAUCGCAUCUGUCUAACAUAGCUCGUUGAUACAAAAAUCUGUUCCACAGAAGGUCCUCAGUUCAAACCUGGGUCGACUCA